GACUUCUACAAAACUAAGGAAG
RNAcentral lists this small nuclear RNA (22 nucleotides) under Arabidopsis thaliana (thale cress). RNAcentral describes it as "snRNA_16585". The record is from RNAcentral. Lineage: Eukaryota; Viridiplantae; Streptophyta; Magnoliopsida; Brassicales; Brassicaceae.